UUAAGUCCGUAACGAGCGCAACCCUGUCCUUAGUUACCAGCACGUUAUGGUGGGCACUCUAAGGAGACUGCCGGUGACAAACCGGAGGAAGGUGGGGAUGACGUCAAGUCAUCAUGGCCCUUACGGCCUGGGCUACACACGUGCUACAAUGGUCGGUACAAAGGGUUGCCAAGCCGCGAGGUGGAGCUAAUCCCAUAAAACCGAUCGUAGUCCGGAUCGCAGUCUGCAACUCGACUGCGUGAAGUCGGAAUCGCUAGUAAUCGUGAAUCAGAAUGUCACGGUGAAUACGUUCCCGGGCCUU
RNAcentral lists this ribosomal RNA (301 nucleotides) under uncultured Pseudomonas sp. Its description in RNAcentral is "bacterial SSU rRNA". It matches the Rfam family "Bacterial small subunit ribosomal RNA", at positions 1080 to 1382 of the family's 1533-position model. Lineage: Bacteria; Pseudomonadati; Pseudomonadota; Gammaproteobacteria; Pseudomonadales; Pseudomonadaceae. The record is from RNAcentral.